This 777-nucleotide ribosomal RNA is filed under the name uncultured Neocallimastigales. Its description in RNAcentral is "partial large subunit ribosomal RNA". It matches the Rfam family "Eukaryotic large subunit ribosomal RNA", at positions 26 to 639 of the family's 3401-position model. The record is from RNAcentral. Lineage: Eukaryota; Fungi; Neocallimastigomycota; Neocallimastigomycetes; Neocallimastigales.
CGCAUCUGUGCAUGCAGCAUAUCAAUAAGCGGAGGAAAAGAAACUAACAAGGAUUCCCUUAGUAACGGCGAGUGAAGCGGGAAGAGCUCAAAUUUGAAAUCCUUCAAGGUUUUACCUUGACGAAUUGUAGUUUAAAGAAGUGUUUUCUGUUGAAGUUUUGGUAAAAGUUCUUUGGAAUAGGACAUCAUAGAGGGUGAGAAUCCCGUAUUUGACCAUUAUUUUCAGCUGUGUGAUACACUUUCAAAGAGUCGGAUUGUUUGGGAAUGCAGUCCAAAAUGGGUGGUAAAUUUCAUCUAAAGCUAAAUAUUGGCGAGAGACCGAUAGCGAACAAGUACCGUGAGGGAGAGAUGAAAAGAACUUUGAAAAGAGAGUUAAACAGUACGUGAAAUUGUCAAAAGGGAAGCGUUUGACACCAGUGUUGUUUUUCUCGAAAAUCAAUUAAAAAGAGUUAGAUUUUGUUGUGUAUUGACCUUAACAGCUUGCAUUUCAAUUUUCUUGCUUUUUUUAAUGCACUUUUCGUUUAACAAGUCAGACAUCAGUUUCUUUUGUUGUAAAAAGGUCAUUGGAAGGUGGCUUUCUUUUCGGAGAAAGUGUUUAUAGCCUUUGACUCCUGCAAUCGGAGAGACUGAGGUCUGCAGCGUAGAUCCUUCGGGGUUAGAUACAUUUGUGCUAAGUUAUAGCUUUUUAUAGACAACUUGUUGACUAUGAUUAGUCUUGUAGCUUACUCGCUUAUGCUAUUUUACCUACGCUUAGGAUGUUGACGCGCGUGUGUGCGUG